UACGUAGGGGGCUAGCGUUGUCCGGAUUUAUUGGGCGUAAAGAGCUCGUAGGUGGUUCGGUAAGUCGGACGUGAAAUCCCUCGGCUCAACCGAGGAACUGCGUCCGAUACUGGCAGGCUGGAAUCCGGGAGAGGGAUGUGGAAUUCCAGGUGUAGCGGUGAAAUGCGUAGAUAUCUGGAGGAACACCGGUGGCGAAGGCGGCAUCCUGGACCGGUAUUGACGCUGAGGCGCGAAAGCUAGGGGAGCAAACGGG
Molecule: ribosomal RNA, 253 nt
Filed under: uncultured bacterium
Lineage: Bacteria
Description: partial 16S ribosomal RNA
Rfam family: Bacterial small subunit ribosomal RNA
Source: RNAcentral